GAUGAAGAACGUAGCGAAAUGCGAUAAGUAAUGUGAUUUGCAGAAUUCAGUGAAUCAUCGAAUCUUUGAACGCACAUUGCGCCCGCCAGUAUUCUGGCGGGCAUGCCUGUUCGAGCGUCAUUUCAACCCUCAAGACCCCUUCGGGGGACUUGGUGUUGGGGACCGGCACAGGGGCCUGCCUGCUUGUCUUGCAGCGCCCUCGCCGCCCCCGAAAUGAAUUGGCGGCCUCGUCGCGGCCUCCCCUGCGUAGUAGCACAACCUCGCAACGGGAACGUGACGGCGGCCACUGCCGUAAAACAACCCCAAUUUUAUUAGAGUUGACCUCGAAUCAGGUAGGAAUACCCGCUGAACUUAAGCAUAUCAAUAAGCGGAGGA
This 375-nucleotide unclassified non-coding RNA is filed under the name soil metagenome. RNAcentral describes it as "partial contains 5.8S ribosomal RNA, internal transcribed spacer 2, and large subunit ribosomal RNA". The stretch from base 1 to 120 matches the Rfam family "5.8S ribosomal RNA", at positions 35 to 154 of the family's 154-position model. The record is from RNAcentral.